This is a long non-coding RNA of Pseudoliparis swirei, 1686 nucleotides long. RefSeq lists it as uncharacterized. The record is from RefSeq and is a predicted model, not a curated record. NCBI's taxonomy places the organism in Eukaryota, Metazoa, Chordata, Actinopteri, Perciformes, Liparidae. The transcript is spliced from 9 exons.
CGGACACAACGAAGUCAAAUGUAUAACGAAGACAGAAAAGACGACGAAAAUAACGCACCUCACCGGCUCUUUCUGUUGACUCUCGUGACGUCAUCACGUCGCAGAGAGAGGAGACUGGAUGGCGCUUCCUCUUUUAACUGAAAGAGGACUUGCUGCCAACUGUCAUGAAGAGACUGGAUGGAGCUUCCUCUUUUAACUGAAAGGAAUUGCUGCCGACUGUCACGAAGAGACUGGAUGGCGCUACCUCUUUUAACUGAAAGUAUAUUUUCCAGGAUCUGUAUUGAUGCCGCCUCUCCCUGGCUUGGUUUUUGAAGUUCACCAUCUCGCGCUGGAAGGAUGCUGUGGAGUUUCUCGGGCGUCUCCCACCCCAAGCCUGACUAUCUGCACACUGACCAGGAGGCCGAUCAAGAGACGUCUGUGUUUUACUAACGAACUAAUUUGUGAUUUCAAAUGACGCCGUCGCUAUAAAAAACAACCUCGUCCUGCUAUUUCAUAUCGUGUGCUGACGUGCAUGAGAGACGGUGAUGAGUUGCACCAUUAGUCGGGGUCUCUGAUUGCAGUAGCGCGGCGGUCCCGACGACCUGCGGUGACUUGCAUUGUGCACCGGGGACCGUCUGAGUUACCGCCCAGCUGUCGCCCGGAGACGUUGGCAGGAAGAGCGAUCGUAGACACGGAGGAGAACAGGAAGUGCCUCGCCAGUCGCUGGUUUCCUUCCCUAAUGGGUGGAAGACCUCCGACCCCCACGGCUGGUGAACUCUGAAGACUCUCAUCCAGCGCCACAGCAGACGCCACCGGAGUUGAGCUGGACCGUCACCUGCUGUACAUCCCGAGCUGCAGCAGGGUGACCUGGAUCCACACCAAGCGGUUUGUUCUCUCUGGGCAGGACGCAACAAGCCACUGGAAAUAACUUGUUGGAGGACAUCGCCGUCCCUCCACCCGAGAGGAACUUUAGCGUUGGGAAAAGUUCAAGGGGAAAAAUACACGAUUGCUAUUGAGCUGUACUUGUUGGAGCUGGUUUUCUUUGCACACAACGGGAGAAGCAAUUUGCAUUAUUGAGACCGUUAAAAACGUAUCUUCCCAUAAAUGUCUGUUCUCACUCCGAUGGACGUGGCGGGCGCCGAUGUUGCAGUAGCGUGUCGUUCACGGCACGGGCGUCGACCACCGCUGCGACCUCACGCCGCUGCGUUGUGGGCCGACUGCCGGUGAGCAACACAGGGGGCAGUCUGGAUUCAUCCUCAAUUAAUUAAUCCACUCACUCGCCGUAGUAAAUAUGCGCAGACGCUAUCGUGUCUGCGCGCGAUAGUCCCCCGUGGUCGCGGCCGGCCGCUCGGUAAUCCCUCUGAGUCGGGGCGCGGGCGUCCAUCACGGCGACGGCUUCAGCUGGGCCCGUUUCCUCCGAGGUGACGGUGGAUUCCUCAUGAAGGGAUUUCGGUUUGCUUUGCUUCAUCAGAGGUUCUCUGGUUCUGUCAGCGGCCGGGCCCGGGCUGGUGCUGUCGGGUUCAAUGUGCUGAAAACCAGAUUGGGAGUGUUUCUAUUGCCUCAAUGUGGAGUCAUGGGUGUAGUAGUCUUAAUGAACACUUGGGUGUAGUAGUCUUGAUGAACACUUGGGUGUAGUAGUCUUAAUGAACACUUGGGUGUAGUAGGUGUACUGUUUUCAUUUCACUAAAUAAACAUUUACAAAUUCAG